GCUGGCUGCCACAUGGGAAGGGUCUCUAUUUGGAGAUCACUUCCUUGGGAGUGUUUGAUGAGCCCUGAUCCUUGGAAAAGGAGACAUAGCUGUAUAAAGAUUCAGUGACUGUGUUGUCAUACUUCUGUGAAGAUGCGAAAAUGGACCAGCUCUGCCAGACCAGUCCUCUGGAGUGUUCUGCGUUAAUGAGAACAUGUCAACCUAAAGCCACAUGACUGUGGGUUAGGCGAUGGUUUGAGGUCUCUUAGUUCAAAUACAUGGACAAAAGAUAUUUCUAUUCUCCAGGAAAAAUACGUAUAUGGAUUUUGAGCUGCAUAAAUGCAGAACUACAGCAUUACUGAACUCUUUAUUGCAAAAAUUCAUAUUAUACCUACAAAAAGAUUAAAAACGGAGCAGUGCUUUUUCCUGUGGUCUAGUUAGUAAGUAUUCUUACAAAUGAAAUUCUUCAAAUAGUCCCCCCAAAUAAAAAACUUGUUUAUUAAAAAAAAAAUCUAUCUUUUUGUGUAAAAAUGAUUUAUUAAAUUGGCGUGUGUAGUCAUUUGUCCAGUUUAGAUAACUUUUCCGCUGUCAUUUUUGCCUUCCAAGAGGCUUUUUGAUGAAUUUCUCAUGAAUUCUAUUCAAUAGCUAUUUGAAGUACUUUGUUUUAUUCCAUGAAGGAAAAAGUGUUCUGUUCCUGUAAAUCUUGCAAUUAGAGAAGGAGAAUAUUGUUUCCUUCAUGUGAAGGUGAUAACUGUUCAAAAAUUUCAAUAUCAAUGAUUAUAUUACUGCUUAAAUUAAUAUUCUCAAUACAUACUGCCUUUCAACUUUACAAAAUGUGUGGGACAAUCACACAUCGGUUGGAUACUUGAACACUACGGUGGCAUCUUCAUAUGAUGUACUGCAAGAAAAUGAAAGAACUCCAGAAAUAUAUUCCUCUUAGUAUGUUAUCUGUUCAUGGUAUUUCUGUUCUACUUCAUUAGGUAAUAAUUUCUAUAUUAAACUAUGUUUUGAGCUAUGUUGAAUGUCAAGAAGUGUUCUUAUGUUACCUUGGGGAGAAGCAUUAUUGUAUUAUACACAAAGGUAAUUGUUUGUAAAUGAUAUUAAGACUUGUGAAGUGCAGCGGACCUUACUUUUGUCCUUAGGCUCCUCAGAUGCAAUGAUAACAAUAUGACAGAAUAGUAUGGAACCAUAUUAAAGCAUCAGUGUGAUGUUUGAGUUUGAAACAUUAGAACUAGGGUACUCAGAACUCUGUUUUGGGACGUGAAGUACCAGGAGGAAGGAAUCCAUGCCGAGACAUCAUCUAGGAAUCUUGAUGAAAAGAAGGAAAUAAUGUUUUCUUCCACGUCGGAGCUCUGUGUUUUAAUGUUGCUUCAUCUGUAUGAUAGCAAUGAGAAAUAAAUUAGAGCAUAUCAUACACUGCAACCUGACUGGGAAUGAAUUGGCACCUGGUUGGUGUAGAGCUGAUAACAGAGCUCAGUGAGGACUCAAUUCACUUGAAUAAACAUAGACGUCAGUGCAGUGUGAAACACCACUGAGUGAUUUUUACAGAACAUGUAGCAUGAUACUGUAGCAUGUCUCCAGCAAAAUAGACUGGUUGUAAGUAAA
Non-coding RNA from Meleagris gallopavo (turkey), 1584 nucleotides. NCBI's taxonomy places the organism in Eukaryota, Metazoa, Chordata, Aves, Galliformes, Phasianidae. The record is from RefSeq and is a predicted model, not a curated record.